UGGAUAGAUUAUUGUAUUCGACUGUAUUCACGGCGUGAAACAGGGGAUUACACUAUUUUUAAACGGAAAGUGAAUCAAUAGACUCCUAAUAUAACUCA
This 98-nucleotide microRNA precursor is filed under the name Nicotiana attenuata. Its description in RNAcentral is "MIR6152 microRNA precursor family". The stretch from base 1 to 87 matches the Rfam family "MIR6152 microRNA precursor family". The record is from Rfam by way of RNAcentral. Lineage: Eukaryota; Viridiplantae; Streptophyta; Magnoliopsida; Solanales; Solanaceae.